This is a long non-coding RNA of Juglans regia (Persian walnut), 498 nucleotides long. RefSeq lists it as uncharacterized. The record is from RefSeq and is a predicted model, not a curated record. NCBI's taxonomy places the organism in Eukaryota, Viridiplantae, Streptophyta, Magnoliopsida, Fagales, Juglandaceae. The transcript is spliced from 3 exons.
ACAAAGUUUCACCUUCUCCUCCAAGCUAAAGCCGAUUCUCUUUUCUUCUCCUCUCUUUUGUUCUUCAAGAAACCAAAGUCCUCUAAUCUCCUUCAAGCUAAGCAUCCAUUUCCAUUCUUCUCAAAAGGAAAAUAGCAAGUGAUAUCGUGCUGCUCUUUAUCCACACGGCUAUAUCUCUAUUUGGUCUUCCACUUGUGUUUUGAAAGGAGCUAAGAGGUUAAGGUAAUAAUGAAAAGGCUGGGGAGCAAGGCAUUACUGCAGAGGGAGAGCCAGACGCUUAUGACUUUCCCUAACUAGAAUAAUUAUGUUUAUGGAUGAUGGGUUAUGUUUAUGUAUAGAUGUUCUAUGUUGGGAUGGACUCUAAGAGUCUUUUUUGGAUGAAUGUUCCAAUAGGAUGUCUAUUAGGUGUUCCCUUUAUUAGAUCGAAAAUUUAGAGUACACGAGUGUCAUGUUCAUGCUGAUUGCAUGUUAUUAGAAAAAAAAAAUGGGAAGUAAAGU